AUUGAACGCUGGCGGCGUGCUUAACACAUGCAAGUCGAUCGGUAACAGGUGUAGCAAUACAUGCUGACGAGAGGCGGACGGGUGAGUAAUGCUUGGGAAUCUGCCUAUUAGUGGGGGACAACCCGGGGAAACUCGGGCUAAUACCGCAUACGCUCUACGGAGGAAAGCCGGGGACCGCAAGGCCUGGCGCUAAUAGAUGAGCCCAAGUCGGAUUAGCUAGUUGGUAGGGUAACGGCCUACCAAGGCGACAAUCCGUAGCUGGUCUGAGAGGACGACCAGCCACACCAGAACUGAGACACGGUCCGGACUCCUACGGGAGGCAGCAGUAGGGGAAUAUUGCGCAAUGGACGAAAGUCUGACGCAGCGACGCCGCGUGUGGGAUGAAGC
RNAcentral lists this ribosomal RNA (387 nucleotides) under uncultured bacterium. RNAcentral's name for it is "bacterial SSU rRNA". It matches the Rfam family "Bacterial small subunit ribosomal RNA", at positions 29 to 414 of the family's 1533-position model. The record is from RNAcentral.